Molecule: ribosomal RNA, 443 nt
Filed under: uncultured Peptococcaceae bacterium
Lineage: Bacteria; Bacillati; Bacillota; Clostridia; Eubacteriales; Peptococcaceae
Description: bacterial SSU rRNA
Rfam family: Bacterial small subunit ribosomal RNA
Source: RNAcentral
CCUACGGGUGGCUGCAGUGGGGAAUUUUCCGCAAUGGACGAAAGUCUGACGGAGCAACGCCGCGUGAGUGAUGAAGGCCUUCGGGUUGUAAAACUCUGUCUUAUGGGAAGAAGAAAGUGACGGUACCAUAGGAGGAAGCCACGGCUAACUACGUGCCAGCAGCCGCGGUAAUACGUAGGUGGCGAGCGUUGUCCGGAAUCACUGGGCGUAAAGGGCGCGUAGGCGGUUAAUUAAGUCAGGUGUGAAAACUUUGGGCUCAACCCAGAGACUGCACCUGAUACUGGAUAACUUGAGUGCAGGAGAGGACAGUGGAAUUCCUAGUGUAGCGGUGAAAUGCGUAGAUAUUAGGAGGAACACCAGUGGCGAAGGCGGCUCUCUGGACUGUAACUGACGCUGAGGCGCGAAAGCGUGGGGAGCGAACAGGCUUAGAUACCCUUGUAGUC